UCGCAAAUUACCCACUCUCGGUUCGAGGAGGUAGUGACGAAAAAUAACAAGGCCGUUCUCUACGAGGCCGGCCAUUGGAAUGGGUACAACUCAAACCCUUUAACGAGUAUCAAUGAGAGGGCAAGUCUGGUGCCAGCAGCCGCGGUAAUUCCAGCUCUCAAAAUGCAUAGAACCAUUGCUGCGGUUAAAAAGCUCGUAGUUGGAUUUGUGCCGGCGCCGUGGUCCACCCUAACGGGCGGUACUGCGAGCGUCGGCUUUGGGCCGGUCUCCGGGCGGCGCACUUCACUGGGCGUCGUCCGUGGCUGGCUGGUUUACUUUGAGCAAAUCAGAGUGCUCAGCACAGGCGUCUCGCCGGAAUGUUCGUGCAUGGAAUAAUAGAACAGGAUCACGGUCCUCUUUUAUUGGUUUUGUGGACUGAGAUAAUGGUUAACAGAGACGAACGGGGGCAUUCGUAUUGCUGCGUGAGAGGUGAAAUUCUUGGACCGCAGCAGGACGGACUACAGCGAAAGCAUUUGCCAAGCGCGUCUUCAUUAAUCAAGAACGAAAGUCAGAGGUUCGAAGGCGAUCAGAUACCGCCCUAGUUCUGACCGUAAACGAUGCCAACUAGCGAUCCGUCGGUGGCUCCAAGGCCCUGAUGGGGAGCUUCCCGGAAACGAAAGUCUUCCGGUUCCGGGGGAAGUAUGGUUGCAAAGCUGAAACUUAAAGGAAUUGACGGAAGGGCACCACCAGGAGUGGAGCCUGCGGCUUAAUUUGACUA
RNAcentral lists this ribosomal RNA (757 nucleotides) under Hemicycliophora conida. RNAcentral describes it as "SSU rRNA". It matches the Rfam family "Eukaryotic small subunit ribosomal RNA", at positions 434 to 1201 of the family's 1831-position model. Lineage: Eukaryota; Metazoa; Nematoda; Chromadorea; Rhabditida; Hemicycliophoridae. The record is from RNAcentral.